Molecule: ribosomal RNA, 430 nt
Filed under: uncultured bacterium
Lineage: Bacteria
Description: bacterial SSU rRNA
Rfam family: Bacterial small subunit ribosomal RNA
Source: RNAcentral
UGGGGAAUAUUGGACAAUGGGCGGAAGCCUGAUCCAGCAACGCCGCGUGAGGGAUGACGGCCUUCGGGUUGUAAACCUCUUUCAGCACCGGCGAAGCUGCUCCUUACCUUUGGGUGGGGGUGGUGACGGUAGGUGCAGAAGAAGGACCGGCCAACUACGUGCCAGCAGCCGCGGUAAUACGUAGGGUCCGAGCGUUGUCCGGAAUUAUUGGGCGUAAAGGGCUCGUAGGCGGUUUGUCGCGUCGGGAGUGAAAUCACCGGGCUUAACUCGGUGCUUGCUUUCGAUACGGGCAGACUGGAGGCAUGCAGGGGAGAACGGAAUUCCUGGUGUAGCGGUGAAAUGCGCAGAUAUCAGGAGGAACACCGGUGGCGAAGGCGGUUCUCUGGGCAUGUCCUGACGCUGAGGAGCGAAAGUGUGGGGAGCGAACAGG